GACUACGGUCAAACCGCUCUGAAUAAGCCCGAUCCCACUAGAUUUUGGAAGCUAGGAAGGGAUGGGCCCAGGAUGUUCUUGGACGGGAAACCACCAGGGCAUACUGGGUGGUGUAGGCC
Ribosomal RNA from Anolis carolinensis (green anole), 119 nucleotides. NCBI's taxonomy places the organism in Eukaryota, Metazoa, Chordata, Lepidosauria, Squamata, Anolidae. The record is from Rfam.